This 468-nucleotide ribosomal RNA is filed under the name uncultured bacterium. RNAcentral describes it as "partial 16S ribosomal RNA". It matches the Rfam family "Bacterial small subunit ribosomal RNA", at positions 28 to 507 of the family's 1533-position model. The record is from RNAcentral.
GACGAACGCUGGCGGCGUGCUUAACACAUGCAAGUCGAACGGAAAGGCCCUGCUUUUGUGGGGUGCUCGAGUGGCGAACGGGUGAGUAACACGUGAGUAACCUGCCCUUGACUUUGGGAUAACUUCAGGAAACUGGGGCUAAUACCGGAUAGGAGCUCCUGCUGCAUGGUGGGGGUUGGAAAGUUUCGGCGGUUGGGGAUGGACUCGCGGCUUAUCAGCUUGUUGGUGGGGUAGUGGCUUACCAAGGCUUUGACGGGUAGCCGGCCUGAGAGGGUGACCGGCCACAUUGGGACUGAGAUACGGCCCAGACUCCUACGGGAGGCGGCAGUGGGGAAUAUUGCACAAUGGGCGGAAGCCUGGUGCAGCAACGCCGCGUGCGGGAUGACGGCCUUCGGGUUGUAAACCGCUUUCGCCUGUGACGAAGCGUGAGUGACGGUAAUGGGUAAAGAAGCACCGGCUAACUACGUG